GAAAUCACAUGAGCCAUGCGUUUUGUUGGUGAUUGUGAUAACGUAAGGGAAAAAAAUGAUAUUACCUUACUAUUAGUGUUGUCCAAAACUGGUGCCAGAAGACUCGGUAAGGCCAGAGACGCAAACGUUAGUCGUCCUAAUCAGGCGUAAAGGGUAUGUAGGCUGCUUUAAAAGUUUUAUUUCUUAAAUUAGCUAUGUAACUAUAUAUUUAAUUUUUAAAUAAUUUAAUAUAAUGUUACAAAAUAAAAUAAAAUGAAUAAAAGCUAGAAUCAAAUUGAAGAUAAACCGAAUAAUACUUAGAGUAGGGAUUAUAUCCGUAGAUACUAAGGGGAAUACUAAAGGCGCAAGCUUUUUAUCUACUAAUGAUUGACGCUGAGAAACGAAGGUGAGAAUAGGAAAUAGGAUUAGAUACCCAGAUACCUCUCACUGUCAACGAUGAAUGGUGGUUGUUAGUUUUAAUAGAAACUGGUAACGAUGUUAACACGAUAACCAUUCCGCCUUGCGAGUACGGUUGCAAAACUGAAACCAAAAAAAUUAGUCGGUCU
RNAcentral lists this ribosomal RNA (545 nucleotides) under Collybia dealbata. Its description in RNAcentral is "mitochondrial SSU rRNA". It matches the Rfam family "Bacterial small subunit ribosomal RNA", at positions 399 to 919 of the family's 1533-position model. Lineage: Eukaryota; Fungi; Basidiomycota; Agaricomycetes; Agaricales; Clitocybaceae. The record is from RNAcentral.